Molecule: ribosomal RNA, 579 nt
Filed under: uncultured Alphaproteobacteria bacterium
Lineage: Bacteria; Pseudomonadati; Pseudomonadota; Alphaproteobacteria
Description: bacterial SSU rRNA
Rfam family: Bacterial small subunit ribosomal RNA
Source: RNAcentral
GCUGGCGGCAGGCCUAACACAUGCAAGUCGAGGGAGAAGCUGACUUCGGUCAGUGGGCACCGGCGCACGGGUGAGUAACGCGUGGGAACCUACCCAGGGGUGGGGGAUAACCGCUGGAAACGGCGGCUAAUACCGCAUACGCCUUUUUGAGGGAAAGAUUUAUCGCCCUUGGAUGGGCCCGCGUUGGAUUAGGUAGUUGGUGGGGUAAAGGCCUACCAAGCCUACGAUCUAUAGCUGGUCUGAGAGGAUGAUCAGCCACACUGGGACUGAGACACGGCCCAGACUCCUACGGGAGGCAGCAGUGGGGAAUCUUGGACAAUGGGGGCAACCCUGAUCCAGCCAUGCCGCGUGAGUGAAGAAGGCCUUAGGGUUGUAAAGCUCUUUCAACGGUGAAGAUGAUAACUGUAGCCGUAGAAGAAGCCCCGGCUAACUCCGUGCCAGCAGCCGCGGUAAUACGGAGGGGGCAAGCGUUGUUCGGAAUUACUGGGCGUAAAGGGCGUGUAGGCGGCCAAGCAAGUCAGAGGUGAAAGCCCUGGGCUCAACCUGGGAACUGCCUUUGAAACUGUUUGGCUUGAGACC